AUAAUAUUGAGCAGAAACAAUGAGAGGACAGGACAUCAGAGAUUGAUGUUGUGUGUGUGAACCAUGUUUGUAUGUUUUUAGGUUUUAAGUUGUUUUUGUUGGUUUCAUUAAAGUGAUUUGAGACCAUCAAAAUGAAACAUUCUGUUAAAGCCCAACUCUCAUUUUAUUCUGAUGUGUACAUUAUAUGUUGAUGACUCUAUUCUUUAAUGGGGAAAAUCCAUCAACCAUAUCAACCAAAGUAACUUCAUCACUGAUAUCAUUUCUAGAGGCUGAUGAAAGGUUGGAAAUGCUGCACCAUCCUUAUGAUUUCCCAAAAAGGUGUCCUUCUUUCCCGCGGUGCUACGCCCUGAAAGUACACUUAUAGUUUUAGCAAAUUACAAGAGGAUCAUUAUUAUUAUUUAACAGUUGGAAGGUGGAUAUGGUGAAUGAUGGAUGAUGAUGGAGAGAAAGAUCAGUGAGCGUUGAUUUAAGAGAGGUGGAGGAAGAGAUGGAGAAGUGGAACAGAAUGGAAUGGAGGCCAGGUGGAGAAAGGAGGGAUGUGGAAGCGACUGUUGUCCAGCCUGCUGAACCCCCAGCAGCCUCGUGCGCACUCUUGUCAGCAGAAUGUUUCCUGUUUCUGGUCACCCAGGACCAGGAGCCUUUUUUCUUUUUCUCCGGCUCUUUCUCCCAUUUUAUUUUUUUCUUCUUUUUCCUUUCUUUGCUUUUUUUCUUGGCCUCCUCCUCGUCGCCUGAUGUGGAUCUGAAGAGCCUGAAGCUUUUUUCUUUUUCUUCUGAUGUUCCACGAGUUCUGUUUUUGUUCCACAGUUUAUUAUUUUAAACUACAUUAUUUAUUUUAUUCUUCGGCUAAAACACUGCACAAUUUUGCAGCUGUUCUGUCUUGUCCUUUUGAGUUUCUCUGUUUUUUUAUAUUUUGCCUCUCAUUGUAUGUUUUGAGUAUUUCAGAAUUUCUGGCCUCCACUUCUUUGUGCUUUUUUACCAGUUUUUCGUAAUCUUGCACUUGUUUUAUUUUCUCCUGCUGCAUUUCUGUUCUGCAGCUGUUGGUUCUUCAUCUCAAAUGCUUUACAUUUCUGCUGCAGUUCUUGUUUUUCUUCUAUUUGUUUGCUUUGCUGAAAUUGCUUGUAGUCAUGUGUAUCAUGAUCAUGAUGUAUCAUGUAUUGUGUGUGCAUCUUUCAACUUCGCUUCCAGCUCUGCCACUUCCAGAUGCAUCUUUCCCUCCAUUAUUUGGUAUAUGUGCUCCAGCUGUUUAUGUUUUUCUUCCAGCUGUGCAUGCUGACUUUUUAUGCUGUCCAUCUCUUGUAGCUGCAUAAAGAUUAUUCUUCUCUUCCAGAUCUUUGUAUUUGUGCUCCAAUUCUUGCAUCUCUUCCAGAUGUUUUUUAUUCUGAAAUUACUUCUGUUCUUUUCGAACACAACUUGGAUGUGUGCAUUGUUAAGGUUUUACCAUAUCCACGUUCUCAUGCUUCAAUAUAUGGUUUUCCUCUUCUAGCUGUUUGUUUUUUUCCUCAAGUAGCUUACAUUUCCCCCCCAUGUUUUUCUAAAAUCUGCAAAGGUAUCUGCAUGAAAGAAAUUUCUUACAGAGGUUUUACAGAGGUUACAGAGGUUUUAUUAGAGACAUAGGUAAUUGUCUUGCAAUUUGACAUAAUUUGUAAAAGUUAAAAAAUUUCUUUAGUAUUGAAAAGCAGAAAUUAGGCUUUCUUGUCAGAGGUCAUUUUUGGGGAAAACACGAAAAGAAAACCACCGACCGACAACAUUGUAC
Astatotilapia calliptera (eastern happy) is the source of this 1753-nucleotide long non-coding RNA. The record is from Ensembl. Lineage: Eukaryota; Metazoa; Chordata; Actinopteri; Cichliformes; Cichlidae.